CGGAUUGUAGUCUGCAACUCGACUACAUGAAGCUGGAAUCGCUAGUAAUCGCGAAUCAGAAUGUCGCGGUGAAUACGUUCCCGGGUCUUGUACACACCGCCCGUCACACCAUGGGAGUCAGUAACGCCCGAAGUCAGUGACCCAACCUUUUAGGAGGGAGCUGCCGAAGGUGGGACCGAUAACUGGGGUGAAGUCGUAACAAGGUACC
Molecule: ribosomal RNA, 208 nt
Filed under: uncultured bacterium
Lineage: Bacteria
Description: partial 16S ribosomal RNA
Rfam family: Bacterial small subunit ribosomal RNA
Source: RNAcentral